UACGUAGGGGGCGAGCGUUGUCCGGAGUUACUGGGCGUAAAGGGCAUGCAGGCGGUCGGACGCGUUUUGUGUGGCAGCGGGUGGCUCAACUGCCCGAGCAUACGAAAGACGGUUUGACUUGAGGGCUCGAGAGGGACACGGAAUUCCGGGUGGAGUGGUGAAAUGCGUAGAGAUCCGGAGGAACACCGAAGGCGAAGGCAGUGUCCUGGCGAGUGACUGACGCUGAGGUGCGAAAGCCAGGGGAGCGAACGGG
This 253-nucleotide ribosomal RNA is filed under the name uncultured bacterium. RNAcentral describes it as "partial 16S ribosomal RNA". It matches the Rfam family "Bacterial small subunit ribosomal RNA", at positions 524 to 776 of the family's 1533-position model. The record is from RNAcentral.